UGGCUUAUAUCUCAAUGGUUAGAGAGCCUGAUUGAUAAUCGGGAGAUAUUGGUUCAAUUCCAAUUAAGCUAA
RNAcentral lists this transfer RNA (72 nucleotides) under Insectozyma prachuapensis. RNAcentral describes it as "Candida prachuapensis tRNA-Ile". It matches the Rfam family "tRNA". From Rfam's summary of the family: Transfer RNA (tRNA) molecules are approximately 80 nucleotides in length. Lineage: Eukaryota; Fungi; Ascomycota; Pichiomycetes; Serinales; Debaryomycetaceae. The record is from RNAcentral.